This 253-nucleotide ribosomal RNA is filed under the name uncultured bacterium. Its description in RNAcentral is "partial 16S ribosomal RNA". It matches the Rfam family "Bacterial small subunit ribosomal RNA", at positions 524 to 776 of the family's 1533-position model. The record is from RNAcentral.
UACGGAGGGGGUUAGCGUUGUUCGGAAUGACUGGGCGUAAAGCGCGCGUAGGCGGAUCGGAAAGUUGGGGGUGAAAUCCCGGGGCUCAACCUCGGAAUGGCCUUCAAAACUCCUGGUCUUGAGUUCGAGAGAGGUGAGUGGAAUUCCGAGUGUAGAGGUGAAAUUCGUAGAUAUUCGGAGGAACACCAGUGGCGAAGGCGGCUCACUGGCUCGACACUGACGCUGAGGUGCGAAAGCGUGGGGAGCAAACAGG